RNAcentral lists this long non-coding RNA (3892 nucleotides) under Homo sapiens (human). RNAcentral describes it as "HSALNT0293386". Lineage: Eukaryota; Metazoa; Chordata; Mammalia; Primates; Hominidae. The record is from RNAcentral.
AAAAUCUCGUAACUUCUAAGUGAACCAGGCAGUUUCCAAAACCUGCCUUUUAGCUAUUAAGCUAUAAAUAUUUGAAAAAAGUAUUUACAUUGACAAAUAACUAUGAAGUUUUUAGAACUUAUGAAGAUCAUGAUGAAGAAAAAACUAUUUGUAAUAUUAUCAAAUUGCUUAUUCCUUUCUGAAGUCAUUUAUUCAAUAUCAUUUAUUUGCAGAUAAUAGGUACCAGGCAUUGAGAAAUUCAGAAUAAAUAAGAAAAUGGAAUAAACAAAGGGUUAUAAAAAAAUCUAGGAUGGGUUAUUCAUUUUAAAAGAGAAUGGGGCUUAGGUGAAAAAAAGCAAAAAUAUACACAAGGACUUGAACAUUCUAACAUAAUGAGCAAGUCAUACCCUGCCAGAUGCACGAGAGUGGAUGACAGGAUGUGCUGGAAAGGAACAUGGGAAGUACCUAAAAUGAAAAGGACCUGAAAUGCAAUUCUAAAGAUUUCGUCUAAAAGAAAUGGCAAGUUGGCAGAUAAUUUUUAAAUUCAAGUGUAAAUAAUCUGAUAAGUAUUUUAGAAAGCUGACUGGAUGGUAUAAAGAGGGUGCAUUAGAGAAGGAAAAUAUGGGUGGCAGGGAGAUCUAUGAGGGUUUUGUGAUGGGUUGAAUGGUGUCCUCCCAGGAGAUAUGUUGAAGCCCUAUUUUUGGUACCUGUGAAUAUGACUUCAUUUGGAAAUAGGAUCUUUGCAGAUGAAAUCUAGUUAAGAUGGGUUCAUUAAGGUGGGCCCUAAUUCAAUAUGACUGUUUUCCUUAUAAAAAAAGGAAAAGACGGAGAAACGGGGAGAAGAAUGCCACAUAACAAUGAAGGUAGAGAAUGGGGUUACACAGCUACAGACCAGAGAACAUGAAGGACUGUCACCAACACCACUGCUAAGAGAAGGGCACAGAACAGGUUCUCCCGCAGAGCCUUUAGAGGAAGCAAGACCCUGUCAACAGCUUUUCUGAGUUCUAGCCUUCAGAACUGUGAGAGAAUAAAUUUCAGCUUAUGGUACUUUUUAUAUGACAGCCCAAGGAAACUAACACAAGUAUUGGUGGAACACUUCUUCAACAAAUAGCACUUGAAUUAAGGCAGUGGCAGUAAAAAUGGAGAGGAGGAGGUAUGUGGUAGACCAGGGAUAUAUUUGCUAAAGGACAAACGAAGUAAUGAGACUUAGAAACAGAACGAUGGAGCCACAAAGAAUGCCUGAAAUGGUAAUAGGAUACAUGCUGGAAUGUUGAUGGGCCCCAUUUCCACAAGCCUCCAAAUCUGCUUCUAGAUCCCAUUCAAGCAAGGGAGGAUUUGUUAAGAAGAAAGGCCCUUUGAGAGCACCAGUCCCUCCACCAGCCAGUCUAGUCCUAAGAGCUCUGAAGGCCAACCUUGGAGGUGGUUCAGGAGGGAAAAUGCAGGACCCAGGAUUUCAGUUGCCAAGCCAGAGAGCAGGGGACCCAGGAAAGAAUAUUGGCAUUCAUUUGAUUUUUCCAUCUUCUGAUAUAACCUUCAAAUGUUAAUAGUGUGUCGAAGAAUUUAUUGGAAAUGAGAAACAAGAAAACAGUGAGUCUAACCUAGUCAUUCUAGAAUUGGGAGGUAAUAGAAAAGAGAGAAAUGGGAAAGUUGCUCAAAUGCAAGUCCAGUGAAUCAGAGAGAAAAGGCUCAAAGCAGCAGAACAAAGCUUCAAUAAAGAGAUAUUGUGACUUGGAGAGAUGGCCUUUUGUCCUUUGUUCUAUUACCAGUCAGAGGAUGGGGAGCACACCCGAGCCUGAGACAACAGCUCUGCUAAGUGCCCUUGAGAGGGCACGGUGGGGUCAGCACCAAAGUCAGACCACUAAAGAGAAAAAGAGAGAAAGACAGGAUUGCAGAGGAGAAAUGAGAAUGGCAGAAAAAAUAAUUUUUUAAGCCAAAAGGAAUCAGAGAAGAGCAGAAGUGCCUCUAGGAUAAAGCGUAGCAGGCAGUUAGGGAAAAAGGGCUGUUAACUACCUUGAAGCUCUGACUACAUUAGAAAGCCUCGCAAGACAGUCGUUGCUUGCACGGGCAGGUAGAGAACUUUUCCUGUCCAUUGUUCUUCUGAAUUAUAAAUCACUGACCUCUUUAUGAUUUCUAAAGGGAAAAUGACUUCAAGCUUCUUAGAGUUCCCCUAAGGCAUUCUCUAUAUUCAAUAUAAUAUGGGAAGCCCUGGGUUUGUCUUUGUAUGUUUCAUCUGCAGUGACCUGAAAUCUUCAUAACCCUCUUCCUUUCUCCACUUAUCAACUAAGGGGUGGUUGGCAAUAAGGAUGGGUGGGAGAGAAAAAAAAACAGAAUUUGAGGAGGAGAGCAUUUAAACCAUCAGACUGUGUGUUCUGUGACAUCAAAGACUGGCAACAUUCUAAAGGAAAAGCAGCUGUGAAGUCAUAAUUAUGUUCACUUCCCACUGGCAACUGGCAAGCCCUUUAUUUUUGUGCAUUCGGAACUCACCAAGAAUAAAUAAAGUCCAUUCCCUCCUUGAGGGGCUAUUCUGCCAUUCCAUCUAGGAUUUAAAAGUUUGCCAAUUCCUAAAACAUCUAUUGUUAUCAAUAGUCUUGUGUCUUUCACAAAGCGGACUUUACAAAAUAAGUUAACAGGCCAUGAGAGGAACAGUCACACAUACCAAGAAAGGUACAUACGGAGAUAAUUCCAAUCAAAGUGAGCACAGCCUACGCAUAAACAGGAUUUUCCAAGAAAAAAGCAUUAAAGUGCCAUAGAAUAUUAAAGAGCAAUUAAAAGAAUGAAGAUCUCUUCAUAUGCUGGAUAGGCGGAGUGACCCAGCAAUCAUAUGGACACCAUCCAUUCCAGUGACACUCAAACUUCAGCGUGCAUCAGAAUCCCUGCAAGGCUUGCUAAGACACAGACUGCUGCGCCUACCUCAGAGUUCCUGAUUCAUCAAGCUUGAAGUUAGAAGGAUUUCUCUACAGUUCUUUCUCUUUUUUCCAAUCUCUUCUGGAUGUUUCUUCGUCUCAAACUACACAGACAUUGUGGAAAUCAGUAUCUUCAUUUCAAGUCUAGGUGGGUCAAAUUUGAUUCUCUUGUAUUUUCACUCUUAAAAUAGCAUCUUGAACUUUCAUCUGUGAUCCAUCUAUAAGGAUCAAAUGUAAGGACUUCAAGAGGGCAUCUGCCCAAUAAUUUCUGUAUACCCAGUACAGCAAACAGGGUGGUAUUGUUGAUGUGUACUCAGUGCAUACAAUAGUAUAGUAGUGUUGUAUAUGCUUUGCAGAGAGUAGCGUUAUUGUUGUAUCAGCACAUAGGACAGGACAGUUUUAUUGCAACAUAACCAAAACAUAGGUUAAAUGUUAACGUUGUUGUAUACCCAGUGCAUAGAACAACAUAAAAUUGUUGUUAUAUGUUCAAUGCAAACCACAGAGUAGAAUGCUCAAUUUUUGUUGAAUGACAUAAAUGAAUUAAAUGGACACAGCAUCACCUACAUGCCUCACCUACAAAGGCCUAACUUGUAAUGGGAUUACUAUUGUUGUUUUAAUAAAUUAAGCAAUGAAUGUAGUUUCAAAAAGUACUUAGCUUUAUUUUUCAACACAGUAAAUAUGAAUAUAACCCAUAUCAGUAAAAGUUGUUUGGGGUCUUCAAUGACAUCUUAAGACUAUAAAGAGGUCCUGACACCAAAAGGGGGAGAAGCACCGCAAUCUUGCAUGCUCCUGGUUCCUGAGAGGUCCAUAUUGCAGUCUGCCAUACUGUUGUAUUUCCAGUACUUACAUGGUGUUUUGGCAAAACCUGAGCAUGUGUUGUCAAGUGGCUGAUGAGGAUGUGAUUCUGAGAAAGGCACCACGAGAUAAAAGAUAUGAAUCUCAGCUGGGCGCGGUGGCCCACACCUAUAAUCCCAACACUUCAGGAGGCUGAGGCGGGCAGAUCAUGAGGU